Molecule: ribosomal RNA, 311 nt
Filed under: Clostridioides difficile
Lineage: Bacteria; Bacillati; Bacillota; Clostridia; Peptostreptococcales; Peptostreptococcaceae
Description: partial 16S ribosomal RNA
Rfam family: Bacterial small subunit ribosomal RNA
Source: RNAcentral
UGCUACAAUGGGUAGUACAGAGGGUUGCCAAGCCGUAAGGUGGAGCUAAUCCCUUAAAGCUACUCUCAGUUCGGAUUGUAGGCUGAAACUCGCCUACAUGAAGCUGGAGUUACUAGUAAUCGCAGAUUAGAAUGCUGCGGUGAAUGCGUUCCCGGGUCUUGUACACACCGCCCGUCACACCACGGGAGUUGGAGACGCCCGAAGCCGAUUAUCUAACCUUUUGGAAGAAGUCGUCGAAGGUGGAAUCAAUAACUGGGGUGAAGUCGUAACAAGGUAGCCGUAUCGGAAGGUGCGGCUGGAUCACCUCCUUU